CCUACGUGAGGCAGCAGUGAGGAAUAUUGGUCAAUGGGCGCGAGCCUGAACCAGCCAAGUAGCGUGAAGGAUGACUGCCCUACGGGUUGUAAACUUCUUUUAUAAAGGAAUAAAGUGAGGCACGUGUGCCUUUUUGUAUGUACUUUAUGAAUAAGGAUCGGCUAACUCCGUGCCAGCAGCCGCGGUAAUCAGGAGGAACCGAGCGUUAUCCGGAUUUAUUGGGUUUAAAGGGAGCGUAGAUGGGUUGUUAAGUCAGUUGUGAAAGUUUGCGGCUCAACCGUAAAAUUGCAAUUGAUACUGGCAGUCUUGAGUACAGUUGAGGUAGGCGGAAUUCGUGGUGUAGCGGUGAAAUGCUUAGAUAUCACGAAGAACUCCGAUUGCGAAGGCAGCUUACUAAACUGCCACUGACAUUGAUGCUCGAAAGUGUGGGUAUCAAACAGGAUUAGAUACCCGUGUAGUC
RNAcentral lists this ribosomal RNA (460 nucleotides) under uncultured bacterium. RNAcentral describes it as "partial 16S ribosomal RNA". It matches the Rfam family "Bacterial small subunit ribosomal RNA", at positions 338 to 795 of the family's 1533-position model. The record is from RNAcentral.